GAGCAAAUCUCAAAAAAACAAUCUCAGUUCAGACUGCAGGCUGCAACUCGCCUGCACGAAGUCGGAAUUGCUAGUAAUCGUAGGUCAGCAUACUACGGUGAAUACGUUCCCGGGCCUUGUACACACCGCCCGUCACACCAUGGGAGUCAGCAACGCCCGAAGUCAGUGACCUAACCGAAAGGGAGGAGCUGCCAAAGGCGGGGCCGGUAACUGGGGUGAAGUCGUAACAAGGUAAC
Molecule: ribosomal RNA, 236 nt
Filed under: uncultured bacterium
Lineage: Bacteria
Description: partial 16S ribosomal RNA
Rfam family: Bacterial small subunit ribosomal RNA
Source: RNAcentral